This 253-nucleotide ribosomal RNA is filed under the name uncultured bacterium. RNAcentral describes it as "partial 16S ribosomal RNA". It matches the Rfam family "Bacterial small subunit ribosomal RNA", at positions 524 to 776 of the family's 1533-position model. The record is from RNAcentral.
UACGUAGGGCGCAAGCGUUGUCCGGAAUUAUUGGGCGUAAAGAGCUCGUAGGCGGCUUGUCACGUCGAUUGUGAAAGCCCGAGGCUUAACCUCGGGUCUGCAGUCGAUACGGGCUAGCUAGAGUGUGGUAGGGGAGAUCGGAAUUCCUGGUGUAGCGGUGAAAUGCGCAGAUAUCAGGAGGAACACCAGUGGCGAAGGCGGUUGCCUGGAGCUUUGCUGACGCUGAGGCGCGAAAGCGUGGGGAGCGAUCCGG